Long non-coding RNA from Vombatus ursinus (common wombat), 649 nucleotides. RefSeq lists it as uncharacterized. The transcript is spliced from 2 exons. NCBI's taxonomy places the organism in Eukaryota, Metazoa, Chordata, Mammalia, Diprotodontia, Vombatidae. The record is from RefSeq and is a predicted model, not a curated record.
UGACAGCUCCAGUGCCAGGAGUGGAGGGAGGUAAAUAAGAGAUGAGAGACAGGAAAGGAAAGGGAGGAAGCUGGCUCCCUGCUGUCACUUGACACAAAGGCCACUCCAAGAUUUCACCCACAACAGCAGAAAGGCCCCUUCCAUAAACAGUGCAUGCUCUCUUCAUGUGGUGGGGUCAGCGGCAAUGUGUGUCCCCCGGCAGGUGGGCGCCCCUCGGAGGAGCCCAGAGCCGGGAAGCACACCGGGGCACUCCUAAAAAGGGGCCUGGGGAAAGCACCCCUUGGCCCCCAGAAUCUGUUGCUCACUGCAUGGACUCAACAGCCAGAGGGAUUCCAAAAGGUCAUUGACACUGCAGCAUCCCCGCUAAAUCACCAAUGACUGGACUCCUGAUGACAGAAGAGGAUGAACAGGAUCUAACAAGUCCACAACUGUGGCACAGGAAGAUUAAGAGAUUCUGCAGCUCUGCAGGAGGGGGCUGUCCGAAGUGGAAUUAGAACUCAGUGCUCCAGGCCCUGCGAUGAAAAGGCCACGGAAACGCCCAGUCAGCAUUUUGGUCCCAUGGCUGCAAGAGGCUGCCAGUCACCUUCAAUAGCUGUGUCAGUAACUGAGAAUUCUUGACUAAUCCUAAAUAAAUCCCACAUGGUUGAAA